AUGAGCCAAUUCCUUCAAUUUCUCUCUCUCUCAUCUGUCUAUCUCAUCUCUAUUAUCUAUGGAUACAGAUAUAAACACCCAUCAUCUGUCCCCUGUCUUGUCUGUCCAUCCAUCCAUCCAUCCAUCCAUCCAUGUUAUAUCUUUAUUUCCCUAAUCUGUAGAAAAAUACAGAUAUGUAAAUCUAUCAUCUAUCUUGCACCUCUAUCCAUCCAUCGAUGCACGAUGUGGCUCUGUCUGCCAUCUAUCUGUUUAAUCUAUCUCUGUCUUUCUCUAGGAUCUAUCUUUCUAUCAUCCGUAGCUGAAUAUAGAUCUAUGCAUCCAUGCAUCCAUCCACCCACCCAUCCAUCCACGAUGUAUCUUUCAAUAUCUGUCAUCUAUCUCUACUAUCUGUUCCUCUAUCAUCUACAGAUAAAUAUACAUGCAUCCAUCCAUCCAUCCAUCCAUCCAUCCAUCCAUCCAUCCAUCCAUCCUUUUGGUCCUUGUAUUAGUCUUCUGCAGAGAAACACAGGGUGCAGGGCAUGCAUGAUAAGGAACUGGCUCCCAUGAUUACAGAGGGCACGAGGUCCCAGGACGUGCUGUCUAUACUGCAGACACCCAGGAGAGCCAACAGGGCCUCUGUCGGAGAAGACUGCUGUCCCGCUCCGAGAUGGUCGGGCAGAGACGGCUCUUUCUUCCUUACUUGGACUUUGGUGCUACUCAGGUCGUCAGCAAAUAGGGGGACGGACCGGGGCCCACCCAGCCCGGGAAGGGCCAUCUGCUCCCUUCUGCCCACUGACUCGGAUGUUCCACUCAUCCAGAAACACCCUCCCAGACACACCCCGAGUCACCAAACGUCUGGGCACCUCCCGGCCCACAGAGCUGACACAUGAAACGCAGCACCACAGCCUACUUCUUGGGAGAAGCUGACUUACAGCUGAACCUUCGGAGAAGCAAGACCUUGGAUGAUGUUCUCAUUCCCCCCAGCGUGGAGGGGAACACGUCUCUCUCCCUCUCUCUCUCAUUUCUGGGACCCCUGCCUUCCGGAGACACCUCCCUGUCACAGCUGAACCCCCCACAUCCCGUUAUCCUACCACUGGAUCGCCCAGAACUUCAGCAAGACAGUCAGUCAACAGCAGAACCAGGUAACUUCAAAGCCCACAGGACGAAUCAGGGCCACGGAAGGGACGGGGUAUGGGGUGACGAUUAGACAUGAUUUUUCUGGAGGCAUCAGAGACGUGGGGGCGCCGGGAGUGGGGCAAGGCCAAGGAGAGAGACAGGUCUGUCCUGGGCGAGGUUCGAAUCAGAGACGCUGUGGAUCCAAGGAGCCCUGCGCCACCAUCACAAGCAUCAGAGACCCCCGUCUCAUGCACAACCUCCUGCCGGGGGCCAGGAGGCUCUAGAACGUGGAGAGAUGGGGCAGGUCUCCUAGACAGGGGCUGGGGGUAUCCCACAGGCUUGGACCAGGUCACCUUGAUGCAGCCAACAGGCUUGGACCAGGUCACCUUGAUGCAGCCGCCCUCUGAGGCCCAGAGAAGAUAAACUGCCACCACGAGUGGGCCAGCGUCGG
This 1546-nucleotide long non-coding RNA is filed under the name Sus scrofa (pig). RNAcentral describes it as "lncRNA (ENSSSCG00070007820.1)". The record is from RNAcentral. Lineage: Eukaryota; Metazoa; Chordata; Mammalia; Artiodactyla; Suidae.